This 481-nucleotide RNase P RNA is filed under the name Omnitrophica bacterium GWA2_52_8. RNAcentral describes it as "RNase P RNA component class A". It matches the Rfam family "Bacterial RNase P class A". From Rfam's summary of the family: Ribonuclease P (RNase P) is a ubiquitous endoribonuclease, found in archaea, bacteria and eukarya as well as chloroplasts and mitochondria. Its best characterised activity is the generation of mature 5'-ends of tRNAs by cleaving the 5'-leader elements of precursor-tRNAs. Cellular RNase Ps are ribonucleoproteins. Lineage: Bacteria; Pseudomonadati; Candidatus Omnitrophota. The record is from RNAcentral.
AUAUACUCUCAGAUGAUCGCUCCACUUUAUGGAGAGGAAAGUCCGGGCUUCCAAGGGUAGCGUAGUGGGUAAUGCCCACCCUCGAAUUUAUUUCGGGCGGAUUAGAGCCACAGAGACGAGUCUAAAUGGCGAUUCGCGGACGACGGCAGUCAGUUAGUAAAAGUCAUAAACAGGACACUAUGAAGCUGACUGUCAAAGUCUGCGCCUUAUGAAUUGCGCCAAUUAGGGUGAAACGCGGCAAUCUCUACGUGAAGAAAGGCCGAACAGGGCGAAAGCUGGUUUGCAGCUGGAUGUGACCCGCAUCCGGAUUCUUUCACAGGAUCCUAUAUGCCGGGUAGGCCGAUAGUGAAUUCAGGCGACUGGAUUUCAAGACAGAUGAUCAUCAGCGCAUUUUCGGGACUUCAUAUAGUCAGCUUUCGGGCUGAUCGUAUGAUGAUAUUGUAAGUGCGUUACAGAACUCGGCUUAUGAGAGUAUGCAAGA